RNAcentral lists this ribosomal RNA (576 nucleotides) under uncultured bacterium. Its description in RNAcentral is "bacterial SSU rRNA". It matches the Rfam family "Bacterial small subunit ribosomal RNA", at positions 102 to 694 of the family's 1533-position model. The record is from RNAcentral.
ACGGGUGAGUAACACGUGGGUAACCUGCCUCAUAGAGGGGAAUAGCCUUCCGAAAGGAAGAUUAAUACCGCAUAAGAUUGUAGUGCCGCAUGGCAUAGCAAUUAAAGGAGUAAUCCGCUAUGAGAUGGACCCGCGUCGCAUUAGCUAGUUGGUGAGGUAACGGCUCACCAAGGCGACGAUGCGUAGCCGACCUGAGAGGGUGAUCGGCCACAUUGGGACUGAGACACGGCCCAGACUCCUACGGGAGGCAGCAGUGGGGAAUAUUGCACAAUGGGGGAAACCCUGAUGCAGCAACGCCGCGUGAGUGAUGACGGUCUUCGGAUUGUAAAGCUCUGUCUUCAGGGACGAUAAUGACGGUACCUGAGGAGGAAGCCACGGCUAACUACGUGCCAGCAGCCGCGGUAAUACGUAGGUGGCAAGCGUUGUCCGGAUUUACUGGGCGUAAAGGGAGCGUAGGUGGAUAUUUAAGUGGGAUGUGAAAUACUCGGGCUUAACCUGGGUGCUGCAUUCCAAACUGGAUAUCUAGAGUGCAGGAGAGGAAAGUAGAAUUCCUAGUGUAGCGGUGAAAUGCGUAGA